CUGGCUCAUCGAUAUAUAAAUCCAAAACACUGCAUGAUUUCUUAUUGUUGUGAUAUCUAUACUUGUGAGAAAAAAGAAACUAUCUUUUGAAAAGUUUAGUUUGUGAAAUGUAAAAACACUCUCAACUUACGUUAUGGAUAAUAUCCCUCUUUUUACUUUUGUUCAUAUUUGAAAUUAUGAUGGUCAUUUGCUUCUAUUUGGUUGUAGAUACCUGUAUUGAUUGAUAGUUUGUAGUAAGAAAAUAAUAUAAACGUUAUUUAAAAUGUUCUAAUUUUCAGCUUGCUGGAGUUGUCGCUGUUGAGGUCACUGGGGGUCCAACAAUUGAAUUUGUUCCAGGAAGAAAGGUGGGCUAUCUUCUAGGAUUUUAUUUCCAUCAUAUAAACCGAUGGUACAAUGUUUUAUAUCCUUUACAGUGAUAAUUAUUCAAUUAUAGCUAAUUGGGGCCCUUUUGUUUUCCUAUCAGGAUUCUUUAGUUUCACCUAGGGAGGGAAAUCUUCCUGAUGCUAAACAAGGUAUGUGGAAUUGUGUAUUGUAUUUUGGUGUAAUUGAUUAAUGGUAGUUGUUAUGAUUUUUGUUAUAACCACAAAUCUUUCAUAAAUCAUAACUUAUGUUUAGCCUGAAUACUUAUUUUUAUCAUGUGAUCCUAUUGUAAAUGCACUUUUCUACAUCAGUGUGAACUGUGAAAACUUGCUUGCUGCUGUAUUUACUUUCAGACACUCCCUUUAUUGUUUUUUAACAUUAUAUUUCUUAAAAUUUUUUACAACAUUUCCCUAAGCAUGUCUAAACCUUAUUAUUGUAUAGGUUAAUUAAUAAAUGUAUUAUUAUUAUAGGCACUGAACAUCUGAGAGAAAUAUUUUACCGAAUGGGUCUGUCAGACAAGGAUAUUGUUGCAUUAUCCGGUGCCCACACUUUGGUAGUUGUUUCAAAGAAUUUUUUUCAUGGAUUUCUAGAUUCAAACUGGUAUUUUAACUUUUAAUCAAUAUUGUUGCAUUUUUUCCCGACACAUUUUUGUAUGUAAAGGGGAGAGCGCAUCAGGAAAGGUCUGGUUUCGAAGGUCCUUGGACAAAGGAACCUCUGAAGUUUGACAAUACAUACUUUGUGUAAGAUCAAUACAAAACUCUGAUAAUUGUUUAAUAUGUUUAAACUUCAGACAGAGGAUUUGACUUAAAAUGCCCAAUUGGGGUUCCUUACUACAAAAUGGUCAUUAUUUCUUCUCAUAGGGAACUGCUGGAAGGAGAAAAGAAAGGACUUUUAAAGCUACCAACGGACAAUACUUUACUGCAUGAUCCUGCAUUCCGUGGUUAUGUUGAACUGUAUGCAAAGGUACUUGAAUAAAAUAGCUUAUGUUUUUGGAAAUUAAAAACUAAACAUAUUUGUGGUUUAACACAACACAGGAUGAAGAUGCAUUUUUUAGGGAUUAUACCGUAUCCCAUAAGAAGCUCUCUGAACUUGGCUGCUUUGCUCCGACAUCCAACAAAGCAGAUUCAAAUGGUUUUUUGGUUCAUAGUGCUUUUGGAGUUGCC
This 1523-nucleotide long non-coding RNA is filed under the name Zostera marina. RNAcentral's name for it is "long non-coding RNA (ZMAR_LNC002070)". The record is from RNAcentral. Lineage: Eukaryota; Viridiplantae; Streptophyta; Magnoliopsida; Alismatales; Zosteraceae.